This 1063-nucleotide long non-coding RNA is filed under the name Sorghum bicolor (sorghum). Its description in RNAcentral is "long non-coding RNA (SBIC_LNC004165)". The record is from RNAcentral. Lineage: Eukaryota; Viridiplantae; Streptophyta; Magnoliopsida; Poales; Poaceae.
CCGAAAACAAGUCAAUCCUGUAGAAACAAACAACGCCUUAAACAGCUCAUCGGCAGCACUGCCGACACUUUCCUCCCUGCCACCCUGCUUCUCCACCAGCUGCUCAGCACCCUUCACGACGUCCCGGUGCAAGCACAAGCUCCUUGAGAUAUAACUUAGGCCUUGUUUGAUACAGCUCAACUUCACUAGUAAAGCUGUUUUUUUAGAAAAUAGCUUUAUGAGCAACUUUCUAGAUGAAGCUAAGCUAUUUUGAAAAAAGUGUUUGGUAAAAUAGCUUCACCAACUACUUCUUACAUAGAUGAGAGAGAGAAAUGAGAGAGAGAGCUGCAAUAAGCUACUUUUUUCAGCUUCAUCCCAACUCAUGUCUUUGGGAGAGAAGAACAAAAACAGCUUCAUCCAUGAAGCUGUUUUAGAAACAAGUGUUUGGCAAAAAAAAAAACAGCUCACAACAGCUCAUGAAACUGUUGUGAGUUGUAUCAAACAGGCCCUUAAAUAUGACAUAGCAAGGGCAAAGUAGUCCAGAAACACGCCUGUGGGCCUGUGGCCGUCUGGCGACUUCCUUUGCUUCUCUUUCCUCUCUUCCUAGGACAACUACUAGAAGCUAUACGGAGAGCGAGUAUGUCUUGCAUAUUGAGAUAGAUCAUGAGAUGUUGUGGAUAAUUUGCAUUAAGAUGUUGGAAGUUAGUGGCAUGGCAUGACUAUUAGUGGAAGAUGAUGUUGAUGUCUUGCUUGUUCAAAAAAAACUUGAGAUGAUGCAUGGAUAGCUUACAUUAAGAGGUUGAAAGUUAGUUGUACGACAUGUCAAUUAGUAGAAGAUGAUGUGGAUGUCUUGUAUGUUAAGAUAGAAGUUGAGAUGCAUGAAUAGCUUGCAUGAAGAGGUUGGAAAGUAGUGGCAUGACAUGUCUAUUAGUGAAGGUUGGAAGUUAGUUGUAUGACAUGGCAAUUAGUGAAAGAUGACGUGGAUGUCUUGCAUGUUAAGAUAGCACUGAGAUGCAUGCAUAGCUUUCAUGAAGAGAUUGGAAUGUAGUGACAUGACAUGUCUAUUAGUGAAAGAUGAUGUGGA